CUUUCGGGAGCUGCUGCCACCCCGAUGGCGUGGGAACAGCGGGGCGCAGGCAUCGCGCUUUGCAGAGCGCGUGAAGGACCAACCGCAGUGGCUCCGAGACCUCUACCUGCCCCUGGAUGAGCAGCAGAGGAACUCCAUCUAUCAGCUGUACCGCGAGCCCGAGGAGGAGGAGGAGGAGGAGGGGAAGAAGGAGGAGGAGGUGUUCACGACGACGCCCGAGGAGCAGCACAGCCCCACAGCCUCCGCCCCAUAAGGCCCAAUGGGGCACAGCGGGAUGGGAGCACCGAGCCCUGGGAUGGCGCCGGGCACUGCGGUGCGCAGAGCCCCGUGGGACGCUCUGCUAUUGACUGGGAUGGAUGGCUCCGCUCCGGCAGUGCUGCGUUUGCUAUUAAAGGCUGC
Molecule: long non-coding RNA, 399 nt
Filed under: Gallus gallus (chicken)
Lineage: Eukaryota; Metazoa; Chordata; Aves; Galliformes; Phasianidae
Description: long non-coding RNA NONGGAT005499
Source: RNAcentral